RNAcentral lists this ribosomal RNA (678 nucleotides) under uncultured crenarchaeote. RNAcentral's name for it is "bacterial SSU rRNA". It matches the Rfam family "Archaeal small subunit ribosomal RNA", at positions 102 to 783 of the family's 1478-position model. The record is from RNAcentral. Lineage: Archaea; Thermoproteati; Thermoproteota.
AGUCAACAUGCCCAGGGGACGUGGAUAACCUCGGGAAACUGAGGAUAAACCGCGAUAGGUCAUCACUUCUGGAAUGGGUAAUGACUUAAACCUAUAUGGCCCCUGGAUUGGACUGCGGCCGAUCAGGCUGUUGGUGAGGUAAUGGCCCACCAAACCUGUAACCGGUACGGGCUCUGAGAGGAGGAGCCCGGAGAUGGGCACUGAGACAAGGGCCCAGGCCCUAUGGGGCGCAGCAGGCGCGAAACCUCUGCAAUAGGCGAAAGCUUGACAGGGUUACUCUGAGUGAUUUCCGUUAAGGAGACCUUUUGGCACCUCUAAAAAUGGUGCAGAAUAAGGGGUGGGCAAGUCUGGUGUCAGCCGCCGCGGUAAUACCAGCACCCCGAGUGGUCGGGACGUUUAUUGGGCCUAAAGCAUCCGUAGCCGGUUCUACAAGUCUUCCGUUAAAUCCACCUGCUUAACAGAUGGGCUGCGGAAGAUACUAUAGAGCUAGGAGGCGGGAGAGGCAAGCGGUACUCGAUGGGUAGGGGUAAAAUCCGUUGAUCCAUUGAAGACCACCAGUGGCGAAGGCGGCUUGCCAGAACGCGCUCGACGGUGAGGGAUGAAAGCUGGGGGAGCAAACCGGAUUAGAUACCCGGGUAGUCCCAGCUGUAAACGAUGCAGACUCGGUGAUGAGUUGGC